This 634-nucleotide unclassified non-coding RNA is filed under the name Hevea brasiliensis (rubber tree). Lineage: Eukaryota; Viridiplantae; Streptophyta; Magnoliopsida; Malpighiales; Euphorbiaceae. The record is from RNAcentral.
UGGAAAGUUGACUGAAUAACAUACACAUUCGGAUAUAUCUUGCAAAGAUCAUGCUGACCAAGCUUUGUGCGAAUAUGUUGGACAAUCAAGUCAAUAGCAACAUGGUUAUCACCUCCUCUAGGUAUGAUAACAUCAGCAUACUUCUUCGAAGGAAGGACAAAAUCAUCAAAAGCAGGCUUGACAAACUUCGCAUACUGUUCAAGUACUGAGUUUAUGUCUCUACCUCUCUCCACUGUGUCACGUCUUAUUCUACGAGCAAGCCUCACGUCAGCAUCUGUAUCAACAAAGAUCUUCAUACUCAUCAGAUUGCGAACACGUGCAUCAUGAAAGACAAGAAUACCCUCCAAGAUGAUAACAUCAGAUGCAUUUACCUGGCGGAAGCUAUCUGAACAUCUCUGAUGGGUUUUAAAGUCAUAAAUUGGAACUUGGACCGACAUCCCAGAUUUUAACUUUUCAACACACUCUAAGAGCUGCUCAGUGUCAAAGGCAUCUGGGUGAUCAAAGUUAUAUUCAUGGACAUGUUUCAUUUCUUCGAGCGUCAAACCGCGGUAGAAUGAGUCCUGAUUAAUCAGCACGACACGAUGAUCAUGAAGUUGUUGGAUGAUCAUGUCACACACAGUAGUCUUACCCGACG